UGAAGCUGGAAUUGCUAGUAAUGGCAGGUCAGCAUACUGCCGUGAAUACGUUCCCGGGCCCUUGUACACACCGCCCGUCACACCAUGAGAGUUGGAAAUACCCGAAGCCUGUGAGCUAACUUAAAGAGGCAGCAGUCGAAGGUAGAGCCAAUGAUUGGGGUGAAGUCGUAACAAGGUAUC
Molecule: ribosomal RNA, 180 nt
Filed under: uncultured bacterium
Lineage: Bacteria
Description: partial 16S ribosomal RNA
Rfam family: Bacterial small subunit ribosomal RNA
Source: RNAcentral